Molecule: ribosomal RNA, 523 nt
Filed under: uncultured bacterium
Lineage: Bacteria
Description: partial 16S ribosomal RNA
Rfam family: Bacterial small subunit ribosomal RNA
Source: RNAcentral
GACGAACGCUGGCGGCGUGCCUAAUACAUGCAAGUCGAACGCUUUUUCUUUCACCGGAGCUUGCUCCACCGAAAGAAAAAGAGUGGCGAACGGGUGAGUAACACGUGGGUAACCUGCCCAUCAGAAGGGGAUAACACUUGGAAACAGGUGCUAAUACCGUAUAACACUAUUUUCCGCAUGGAAGAAAGUUGAAAGGCGCUUUUGCGUCACUGAUGGAUGGACCCGCGGUGCAUUAGCUAGUUGGAGAGGUAACGGCUCACCAAGGCAACGAUGCAUAGCCGACCUGAGAUGGUGAUCGGCCACACUGGGACUGAGACACGGCCCAGACUCCUACGGGAGGCAGCAGUAGGGAAUCUUCGGCAAUGGACGAAAGUCUGACCGAGCAACGCCGCGUGAGUGAAGAAGGUUUUCGGAUCGUAAAACUCUGUUGUUAGAGAAGAACAAGGAUGAGAGUAAAACGUUCAUCCCUUGACGGUAUCUAACCAGAAAGCCACGGCUAACUACGUGCCAGCCGCCGCUGUAA